AAUCUGUAAGCAAUGAACUUUCACCUUAUUGCACAAACACUAAUGCUUUAUGCAGUUUUGCUUUUUUUUUUUAAUGAGCAUUUUAAUAUUUCUAAUUUUGUUUUGUUUUGCUUCAUUUGUAUUAGGGAUGUGCCUGAAUUAUCUGGACAUUCACACCAUAUUCAGAGAGAACCCAGUAUUGGAAACAGCUUACCUUGUUAUAUUUUGUAUGGCUCCCCAAAUCUCUUCUACCUGCUGUUGGUGUAUAUUUGCUGGGAAUGCCCUAGGAGAAGCUUACCAGGAAGUGUGGGGCUGGGGAAAACUGAGCAGGGGACCUGUUUUCAGGUCCCGCCAUUCCUGGUCCUCUAAUUGUGUUUAUGAUGUGGCUUUUUCCAAGUCCUGUUCCUUUGGAGCUAAUUGGGGCAUAUUGUGUGAAAGUCUGGCUUCUGACGUCACCAUUCAAUUGAUUCCCGGCACUGCCUCUCCUGGUUCUCCCACCUGUCUGGUCAUUGCUCCUCAGGCUCUUUUGCUGGAUCUCCAUCCAGGUCGUGUCCAUUAACUGUUGUUUUCCCCGUUACACUGGAAGCUUCUUAAAAGCAAGAACUUAAAAAAACAAAACCCCUCGGUCUCCUCGGGGCGAUGUCUGACAAAUGACAGGCGCAGAAUGCUUAUUUGACUAACUGGAGGAUCACUUACUACAUGACUUCAAGGUGGAUUCAAAUGAACAAGCAACAAUACACACAAGAUUGAAGAUGGCCGCCAAACGUCACUUCAGUGCUCUUUUAAUCACACAAGGGUUAGGCCAUGGCCUACUCCUCUUGCAUAAACCAUGAGGUUAGCUUUUACUGUUGUUUGAAAAUCCACUAAGGAAACAUCUUCGUGGCUUUGUCAUCUCUGCUUCCAAACAAGUGGCUGAUAUCGGGAAACUGGAUGUGUCUUUCUAGGAUAGCUGAGGUUGCGGGCAUACAAUGGACUGUUUCGUUUUGGAAGAAGCAAGCCCAAGAGCUUGCUACCGUUUCUGGUAAACAUUCUGACUCGAAAUUCAGAACAAAUGUAUUGAGGCAUAGCGAAGAUGUAAACGUUUACUAAUUAAGGAUGGCCAAUGAACGAUACCUGUCUG
Non-coding RNA from Monodelphis domestica (gray short-tailed opossum), 1099 nucleotides. The record is from RefSeq and is a predicted model, not a curated record. Lineage: Eukaryota; Metazoa; Chordata; Mammalia; Didelphimorphia; Didelphidae.